This 568-nucleotide ribosomal RNA is filed under the name uncultured Sebacinales. RNAcentral describes it as "eukaryotic LSU rRNA". It matches the Rfam family "Eukaryotic large subunit ribosomal RNA", at positions 81 to 611 of the family's 3401-position model. The record is from RNAcentral. Lineage: Eukaryota; Fungi; Basidiomycota; Agaricomycetes; Sebacinales.
UAGUAACGGCGAGUGAAGAGGGAAAAGCUCAAAUUUUGAAUCUGGUGUCUUUGACUCCCGAGUUGUAAUCUAGAGAAGUGUUUUCCGUGUCGGACCACGUAUAAGUUCCCUGGAACGGGGCGUCAUAGAGGGUGAGAAUCCCGUAUAUGCCGUGGACUACCGAUGCUCUGUGAUACACUCUCAACGAGUCGAGUUGUUUGGGAAUGCAGCUCAAAAUGGGUGGUAAAUUCCAUCUAAAGCUAAAUAUUGGCGAGAGACCGAUAGCGAACAAGUACCGUGAGGGAAAGAUGAAAAGCACUUUGGAAAGAGAGUGAAACAGUACGUGAAAUUGUUGAAAGGGAAGCGUUUGAAGUCAGUCACGUUUGUUGGGAUUCAGCCUGGCUUCUGCCUGGUGUAUUUCCUAGCCGACGGGUCAGCAUCAGUUUCGACCAAGGGAAAAAGACAUUUGGAAUGUGGCUGUCUUCGGGCAGUGUUAUAGCCCUUGUGUUGUAUGCCUUGGUUUGGGACUGGAGGAAUGCAACCGCGCCUUAUGGCCCGGGGGUCGCUCCUUCUCGACACGCGCUUUAGG